This 427-nucleotide ribosomal RNA is filed under the name uncultured bacterium. Its description in RNAcentral is "bacterial SSU rRNA". It matches the Rfam family "Bacterial small subunit ribosomal RNA", at positions 355 to 774 of the family's 1533-position model. The record is from RNAcentral.
UGGGGAAUAUUGGACAAUGGGCGCAAGCCUGAUCCAGCCAUGCCGCGUGGGUGAAGAAGGCCUUCGGGUUGUAAAGCCCUUUUGUUGGGGAAGAAAUCGUGCAGGUGAAUAUCCUGCGCGGAUGACGGUACCCAAAGAAUAAGCACCGGCUAACUUCGUGCCAGCAGCCGCGGUAAUACGAAGGGUGCAAGCGUUACUCGGAAUUACUGGGCGUAAAGCGUGCGUAGGCGGUUCGUUAAGUCCGUUGUGAAAGCCCUGGGCUCAACCUGGGAAUUGCAGUGGAAACUGGCGGGCUAGAGCACGGUAGAGGAUGGUGGAAUUCCCGGUGUAGCGGUGAAAUGCGUAGAGAUCGGGAGGAACACCAGUGGCGAAGGCGGCCAUCUGGACCAGUACUGACGCUGAGGCACGAAAGCGUGGGGAGCAAACA